This 246-nucleotide ribosomal RNA is filed under the name uncultured Sphingomonadaceae bacterium. RNAcentral describes it as "partial 16S ribosomal RNA". It matches the Rfam family "Bacterial small subunit ribosomal RNA", at positions 796 to 1041 of the family's 1533-position model. Lineage: Bacteria; Pseudomonadati; Pseudomonadota; Alphaproteobacteria; Sphingomonadales; Sphingomonadaceae. The record is from RNAcentral.
CACGCCGUAAACGAUGAAGACUAGCUGUCGGGGCACUUGGUGUUUCGGUGGCGCAGCUAACGCAUUAAGUCUUCCGCCUGGGGAGUACGGCCGCAAGGUUAAAACUCAAAGGAAUUGACGGGGGCCUGCACAAGCGGUGGAGCAUGUGGUUUAAUUCGAAGCAACGCGCAGAACCUUACCAGCGUUUGACAUGGCAGGACGGUUUCCAGAGAUGGAUUCUUCCCUUCGGGGCCUGCACACAGGUGC